GGGAGGUGUGAUCCUGUACUCUCUGGGAGGUGUGAUCCCGUGUUCCCUGGGAGGUGUGAUAUCAUGCUCCCU
Molecule: microRNA precursor, 72 nt
Filed under: Gorilla gorilla gorilla (western lowland gorilla)
Lineage: Eukaryota; Metazoa; Chordata; Mammalia; Primates; Hominidae
Description: mir-3689 microRNA precursor family
Rfam family: mir-3689 microRNA precursor family
Source: Rfam by way of RNAcentral